RNAcentral lists this ribosomal RNA (450 nucleotides) under uncultured bacterium. RNAcentral's name for it is "bacterial SSU rRNA". It matches the Rfam family "Bacterial small subunit ribosomal RNA", at positions 354 to 796 of the family's 1533-position model. The record is from RNAcentral.
GUGGGGAAUUUUGGACAAUGGGCGCAAGCCUGAUCCAGCAAUGCCGCGUGCAGGAAGAAGGCCUUCGGGUUGUAAACUGCUUUUGUACGGAACGAAACGGUCCUGGUUAAUACCUGGGGCUAAUGACGGUACCGUAAGAAUAAGCACCGGCUAACUACGUGCCAGCAGCCGCGGUAAUACGUAGGGUGCGAGCGUUAAUCGGAAUUACUGGGCGUAAAGCGUGCGCAGGCGGUGCUGUAAGACAGGCGUGAAAUCCCCGGGCUCAACCUGGGAAUUGCGCUUGUGACUGCAGUGCUGGAGUACGGCAGAGGGGGAUGGAAUUCCGCGUGUAGCAGUGAAAUGCAUAGAUAUGCGGAGGAACACCGAUGGCGAAGGCAGUCCCCUGGGCCUGUACUGACGCUCAUGCACGAAAGCGUGGGGAGCAAACAGGAUUAGAUACCCGGGUAGUCC